RNAcentral lists this ribosomal RNA (246 nucleotides) under uncultured bacterium. Its description in RNAcentral is "partial 16S ribosomal RNA". It matches the Rfam family "Bacterial small subunit ribosomal RNA", at positions 523 to 769 of the family's 1533-position model. The record is from RNAcentral.
AUACGUAGGGGGCUAGCGUUAUCCGGAUUUACUGGGCGUAAAGGGUGCGUAGGUGGUCUCUUAAGUCAGGAGUGAAAGGCUACGGCUUAACCGUAGUAAGCUCUUGAAACUGGGAGACUUGAGUGCAGGAGAGGAAAGUGGAAUUCCUAGUGUAGCGGUGAAAUGCGUAGAUAUUAGGAGGAACACCAGUAGCGAAGGCGACUUUCUGGACUGUAACUGACGCUGAGGCUCGAAAGCGUGGGGAGC